RNAcentral lists this transfer RNA (71 nucleotides) under Acavomonas peruviana. Its description in RNAcentral is "tRNA-Trp". It matches the Rfam family "tRNA". Rfam says of the family: Transfer RNA (tRNA) molecules are approximately 80 nucleotides in length. Their secondary structure includes four short double-helical elements and three loops (D, anti-codon, and T loops). The record is from RNAcentral. Lineage: Eukaryota; Colponemida; Acavomonidia.
AGAGGUAUAGUUUAAAGGUAAAAUAUUAUCUUCCAAAGUUAAUGUUGUGGGUUCAAUUCCUGCUACCUCUG